CGCAGGUGAGCCACCGCGCGGGGCCCCGAGUGGCCGGGCCCGGAAGUGUCUGCUCCCCGAGCGCGGAGAUGCCCGCCCCUGCGCCUGGACGCGGGCCGCGCGUCUCCUCAGCGCCGCGGGGCUUGAGGAGGAGCGGGCGCCACCUGCGGGGCCGGGGCUCCGGGGCUCCGGGGCUCCGGGGCUCCGGGGCCGGGCGGGCGGAGACGCCCUCCUGAGGGAUCCGAACCGUGACGCCGUGUGGCCCGAGCCGGGGGCGAAGGCGUCGCCGUGAGCUCCUGAGGGCUCGGGUGCCUCGCCAGGGUCUGGGGAGAGGAAGGACGGACGGCAGGAGCCCCGGGAAUCCGUGGCGGGGCUGUGAGUCCCCUGUUGCUGCUUCCUGGGGUCGCCAGAUUGAUUGAUUUGAGAGAGAGAGUGGAGGGGCAGAGGGAGAAGGCGAAGGAGAGAAGCAGACUCCCUAUGGAACAUGGAGUCCCCGCAUCUCCGGGCUGGACUCCGGGCUGGAUCCCAGCACCCUGAGAUCAUGAUGAGAGCCAAAACCAAGAAUCAGUAGCUCAACUGACUGAGCUACUGAGGAGCCCCUUCCUUUUGAUAUUCUUAAUAUUUUCUAUUCUCUAGCUUUAUUGGAAGAAUACAGUAGAUAUUCCAUACAGCAUACAA
Molecule: long non-coding RNA, 657 nt
Organism: Canis lupus familiaris (dog)
Lineage: Eukaryota; Metazoa; Chordata; Mammalia; Carnivora; Canidae
Exons: 2
Source: RefSeq, a predicted model, not a curated record